GUAUUUUCUUUAUCUGUUUGGGACUCUUGUUGUUUCCUGCUGGGGACUUUGUUGGACUUUUCUGCUUUAUUGACUCUAAAUGUGCUCCUUUCUCAUAUGAGCGGGCUUUUGACUUCAACACUUCAAUUGUAUUCCCUUGUUCUCCAGGUGGGUGCCUGACUUCUUCAAUUCUCAUCCUCAUUCUCCAGGUGGACGCCUGAUUUCUUCUUUAAUUCUUCAUCCUCAUUCUCCAGGUGGACGCCUGAUUUCUUUAAUUCUCAUCCUCAUUCUCCAGGUGGACGCCUGACUUCUUCUUUAAUUCUUUUCAUCCUCAUUCUCCAGGUGGACGCCUGACUUCUUCUUUAAUUCUUUUCAUCCUCAUUCUCCAGGUGGACACCUGAUUUCUUUAAUUCUCAUCAUCAUUCUCCAGGUGGACGCCUGAUUUCUU
RNAcentral lists this long non-coding RNA (427 nucleotides) under Nicotiana tabacum (common tobacco). RNAcentral describes it as "long non-coding RNA (NTAB_LNC018661)". Lineage: Eukaryota; Viridiplantae; Streptophyta; Magnoliopsida; Solanales; Solanaceae. The record is from RNAcentral.